Molecule: small RNA, 235 nt
Filed under: Saimiri boliviensis boliviensis (Bolivian squirrel monkey)
Lineage: Eukaryota; Metazoa; Chordata; Mammalia; Primates; Cebidae
Description: 7SK RNA (ENSSBOG00000001114.1)
Rfam family: 7SK RNA
About the family: 7SK was discovered as an abundant small nuclear RNA in the mid-70s but a possible function has only recently been suggested. Two independent studies have found that 7SK RNA binds the CDK9/cyclin T complex (known as elongation factor P-TEFb).
Source: RNAcentral
GGCUAGGCGGGUGUCCUCUUCCUCCCUCCCCAUCCCAUAUGCCUCCCUCCCGAAGCUGUGCGCUUGGUUGAAGAGGACGACCAUCCCUGAUAGAGGAGGACUAGUCUUGGAUCAAGGGUCUAUGAGCAGCUGUGCUCCCCUGCUGGAACCUCCAAACAAGCUCUGAGGUCCUUUCUACCUCUGACACCAUAUGAGGCUUUAACACUGCGUUAAAAUAAUUAGUUAGGAGGUCAUU